Molecule: long non-coding RNA, 501 nt
Organism: Diachasma alloeum
Lineage: Eukaryota; Metazoa; Arthropoda; Insecta; Hymenoptera; Braconidae
Exons: 3
Source: RefSeq, a predicted model, not a curated record
UCCGCUGUUACCGACAGGGAAGAUUUUGAUAUGGAGCUUCACAAUUGGCCGCAAAACGUGGGGGGGUAAAAGGCAAUUCACAAGUAACCAGAUGUGGAAGACGGGCCUUAAUUAUCACUGACGGUGCUGAUGAGUUGGCAAGUAUUGGAGUAUUUCGUAUUUUCUUCGUCUCGAUAUCGGGCGAAACAUCUGACAGACUAAGCAUUUUCACGAAAUUCAGGGGUGAAUUGAAUGAACUACCAAAAUGAAUGAUCUGGGCUAAGUGGGCAAACAAGGAAGCUGGAAGAGAUAGAUGGACACAUCGUAGACAUCAAUACCCAGAUGGCUAUUCAAAAGGAAAAAAUCAUUGAAAUCUGGAACGGAGGAAGAGAUUGAAAACAAAGCACAAAAAUGGUAGCUGAGAUGGAUACUCGCCAACGUUCAGUCCUAAAAAAAAUAAAAAAUUAUGAUAAAAAAAAUAACAUUUAGAAAUAAUGCAGGAAUAAAAACGAUUGAGUAUAA